Molecule: ribosomal RNA, 207 nt
Filed under: uncultured bacterium
Lineage: Bacteria
Description: partial 16S ribosomal RNA
Rfam family: Bacterial small subunit ribosomal RNA
Source: RNAcentral
CACGUAGGCGGACCGGAAAGUUGGAGGUGAAAUCCCAGGGCUCAACCUUGGAACUGCCUUCAAAACUAUCGGUCUGGAGUUCGAGAGAGGUGAGUGGAAUUCCGAGUGUAGAGGUGAAAUGCGUAGAUAUUGGGAGGAACACCAGUGGCGAAGGCGCCUUUCUGGACUGUGUCUGACGCUGAGAUGCGAAAGCCAGGGUAGCGAACG